Oreochromis aureus is the source of this 1581-nucleotide long non-coding RNA. The record is from Ensembl. Lineage: Eukaryota; Metazoa; Chordata; Actinopteri; Cichliformes; Cichlidae.
GUUGGGCGUGGCUCGACGUGAUGGGGUGCGAGGGCCCUCAUAUCGCUGCUUGCAGCUUUAAUUUUGUAUUGUUAUCACUUCUAUACUUAUCCAUUUAAAAAAAAAAUCCAGGUUGUGACUGAGGUAUUUUCACGUGUCACAAGUGACACUACUGACGUAAUAUACCUGUAAAGUGAAACACACGAAUAUCUGUAAAACAAAAAUGAAAGCCCGAGGUAUGAAGGUGAGCUAAACACCUCAGCCUACAUAUCAGGAACAACAAGGAAACAUACCUUAAAACCCACGUACAUACACGCAGAUGCAUACAUAGCAGAGUUGAGCAAAAUGGGAGGUGGAAACAGGAGAAUAUGUAUAAAAGGGCACUGCGAUGCCCCAUCUCUUCAUGUGUUCAUUCACCAGCUUCUUUUUACAUCACAGAGGCAGAUUUACUCCAAACAGUGAUGGCAGCAGCUUUAGCCUCAAGCAGGGGACUGACUGUUUCCAGCACCACCAAAGGCCUGUUUCUCAUGUUCACCCUGUUGUCUCUGGUUUGUCUUUCAAGUGCCGUGAUAGACAAGGACCAACUGGAAAAAUUGAAAGACGACUAUCAGAAAUCACACCAGGAGCUAGAAGAACUAAAGAUUGUGUUCAAACAACAAGUGACUGACUCCAAACAACAAAUGACUGUGUUCAAACAACAAGUGACUGAGAUUACAGAGAUGCUGAAGGAAACUGAGGCUUACAUUGAUAGGGAGGAAGAGCAGUUGAGAGGGAAAAUAGAAGAAAGUGAAAAAUGUCUACAAAAACAGAAGAAAUUUAUUGAAUUCCUUGAAGAACUGCAAGCUGAAUUGUAACUUCCAUCUCAGUGAUUUCCUUUUUCUCUGAUGUUGCAUCUGUUUAGUUCCCUUAUCAUAUAGUACUUGUUUAGGUUUGGUUUAACUUUUUUAAAAGUGUCCCCCUUCUUUACAAUUUUACAUAAACUCCAGAGGAUUUUAUGUGUUAAUGAAGUUUAAGGAAUACAUUUUCAGAACUUACAGAUUUUUCUACCAUUACUUGAUUUCUGCAGUGGAAACAAUGUUUGUAUGACCUGACACAUAAUAAAAACAUUAACCUACUACUGUUACUGUUUGUUGUCAGAAUAUCUAUCUCAAAAUAUACGACUUUUUUUGCCGUAUCCCCAGCAGUCAGCCACAAAAGUGGAUUAACUAAAAUAUAUGUGACCUAUUUGCAAAUGAUGUAAAGAUAAACAAAAUUGUUCACUUUUAAAAUAUAUUUAAAGAUUGCAUUUAUAAUUUAGUGCACUCUGUAGUGCUUCACUUUUUUUCUCCUCAUGUUGUCAUUAAGGCAUUUUCAUCUGUCUCAUAGCGACACUGUGCAUGUUCCUGUAAAGACAAACAGGCAAAAUAAAGUUAUUUGUAAAACAAAUAUGAAAGCCUGAGCUUCAAAGUUAAGCUAAGAUGAAAGUCUUACUGCAUCUACACACAUACAAACACAGUGCAACAACCUACCAAAAACACACACACACAGAAGAGCUGAGCACUAUUUUACCACCAUUGGAAGACGUUGUUCCCAGUUUAAGGAAAUGCACUGCACUGGUUUGAA